GUUUCUUCUUUUGUUUUAUCCGUUUUGUU
RNAcentral lists this small RNA (29 nucleotides) under Arabidopsis thaliana (thale cress). RNAcentral describes it as "ATSL145270". The record is from RNAcentral. Lineage: Eukaryota; Viridiplantae; Streptophyta; Magnoliopsida; Brassicales; Brassicaceae.